UUCAUGACUGCAAAUCGGUCUUUCCAAAAUAAUAUUCCUAAUGAUAGCUACUGUUUACGGAGUGCUUCCUCUGCGUGCCGGGCCUGCACUUGCUGAGCACCGUGCAUCCGAUAGCCAUAAUCAACUAAAUUUACUUCAUGCUUACCAACGGGUUGCUGUGGAUGGUCUGAAGAAAACCACUGAUAGUACUCAGUGUGCAAGUUCUGCAGCCAGCCUAUCCAGGUUUGAUCUGAGCUCUCCUAAUUAUUAGCUGUGUGAUUGGGGAAAUUACCUAGCGUGUUCAGCCUCGGUUUACUCAUCUGCAAAAAUGGAGAUAAUAAGAGUUAC
This 327-nucleotide long non-coding RNA is filed under the name Equus caballus (horse). RNAcentral describes it as "lncRNA (ENSECAG00000055464.1)". Lineage: Eukaryota; Metazoa; Chordata; Mammalia; Perissodactyla; Equidae. The record is from RNAcentral.